RNAcentral lists this long non-coding RNA (1873 nucleotides) under Phasianus colchicus (ring-necked pheasant). RNAcentral's name for it is "lncRNA (ENSPCLG00000000523.1)". The record is from RNAcentral. Lineage: Eukaryota; Metazoa; Chordata; Aves; Galliformes; Phasianidae.
AAUGGGCAAAGGUGUACAUCAGAUAAUGAAUUUUGUGAAACAGAGCAGAAAACCAGGAAAUCGAAAAUCAGAGAAGAGGCAGAACUACCAGAAAAGGGAGUGUGUCCUGAAGAAAUUUUAAAAUUUUUACCAGAAGCAGAAAAUGGAACCACUGAAAAGCAAACUUUAGGCAAGUAAUUUUACGAGAGUUACUUGUCCUUAUUUUAUUUUUUUUAAUCUGCUACAUUCCUUUUGUAAUAAUGAUUGAUAACAAAUUAAUAUUUUAUUUAGACGAUGCGUUAGAUAUCGUUCCUGAUUCCCAGCAAGCAGGGAGAAGCAACAAACAUCUGUAAGUACUGAAAAAGAAUACCAAGUCACUGCUGGUUUGUGACUCAGUGACUAGUUCAUGAAAAGGUUCAUCUGUUGUUUUUAACUUUAUAAUUAAAGUCUGAUUAUUUUGAAAAUAGUGGUCAUUAACAAAAUCAGAGUAGUAGUUUAAUGUUCAAUGUUAAUAAGGAGAAUAAUUAUUUCAGAUUACAACAGAAAGUAAAGUAAAAAUGACACUGAGCUGUGCCAUAAAAGGUAGUAAACACAUUCUAAUUGUACCUCUGUAGGUGCAUCACAGUGUUAUCUUGUUCAGUUUUAGUGCUGGCCAUAGGAUACUGAAACUACCUCUUUGAAACUGCCUUUUUGUAUACAUAAUUUGUGAAGUUUUGUCAUUUUACAAAGCAUUUGAUUAAUUGAACAAUAGUAGCAGGCUUAUAUACCAGUGUAAAAUGCAUUGAUAAUCUAAAAGCUAGCUCCGUUUCCCUAUGUUGUGAUGCAUGUUUAUUGUAGUUCAGCCUCACUUCCUGCAAUUCACUGAUAACACAAUUGUUUCAUUUUUAUUAGACUGCCUGGUCAUUUGAAAAGUUCUUCUGAUAAAAAAGGAACGAGGAAAAAAAGAAUGUGUUCUGUCCCUGAGAAGAAUAUAGCAACUGGUGACAGACAAAAGCUAAAUCUGUCAUCAGAACAAGCAUCUCAUACAGCUCCUAUUCUUAGUGAAAGAGCUAUGAAACAUAAAGCUUUUUGUUCGGUUUUUGGAAGUGCUUCUCCAGAUAAACAAAUAAAUAAAAGAAAACAACAAAGAAAUGGAAUCACAAGGGAAGAAAACUGCAAAGUACUGAAUGGUGAGUUAAAGUGUAUUAAUAACUUGGAAGAGAAGCAGUUAAAUACAGAAUGGAAAAAUAUUUUAAUUACUACUGAAACAUUUAAAACAUGUCUUUCUGAUAAAGUGCCAGAAACAUCUUUGCAUUCUGAUUUUACAAAACGCAACAAUACUAAACAGGAAGCUGAUGUUCUCUCAAGAAAGGAGACUGCAGAUCAUGAAAAGUCAAAAAUGGUGAGAGUUUCUUUCCUUCAUUUUUUCAACUUGUAAUUGGGGGAAUUGUUGCACUGCCAGUAUUUCAAAAUUUAUUAUACUUUCAUUUACUCACAAACUUAUUUUACAUUGAUUUUUUUCAACUAAUACAGAGUGAAUUAAAUAAUGUCAGGUGAACAGUUUACUUUUUCAGCUUCACCUGUUUAAGAUCACCGUAGUCUGAAUAUAUCUUUUAAUUGUGCUUUUUAUUAAUAAUUCUUAAAUAUGGUCUGGCUUGUACUGCUCAUACACAUCUCAUCCAUCACUUCUAAAUAUUACAGUAUGUUAAAACAUUCAAAACAAAAUAUCUGCCAGACUCAUGUAAGGAAAGUGAUUUUCAGAGGAAUGUGAUUUAGUACAUCUAGAAAACUGUUUAAUUAGGUUUAGGUGAUUGUUAGGACCAGUAGCUGUUUCAGCCUUUUCUUUCUGCUGAAUGGGUUCAAAGUUGAGUAUUAAACUCUACUAUUUCAGAAAAUAAAAUCUAAAGAAAUCUCA